GACUAACGCUGGCGGCGUGCUUAACACAUGCAAGUCUGACGAGAAAACGGUAGCAAUAUCGUUAGUAAAGUGGCGAACGGGUGAGGAACACGUAACCAAUCUGCCCUGAAGUGGAGGAAAACUGAGGGAAACCUUAGCUAAUCCCCCAUAAUGAGGUGCCUAUCGCAUGAGAACACCUUUAAAGAUUUAUCGCUUCGGGAGGAGGUUGCGUCUGAUUAGCUAGUUGGCGGGGUAACAGCCCACCAAGGCUUCGAUCAGUAGCUGGUCUGAGAGGAUGAUCAGCCACACUGGGACUGAGAUACGGCCCAGACUCCUACGGGAGGCAGCAGUAGGGAAUCUUGCGCAAUGGGGGAAACCCUGACGCAGCGACGCCGCGUGCGGGAUGAAGGCCU
Molecule: ribosomal RNA, 392 nt
Filed under: uncultured bacterium
Lineage: Bacteria
Description: bacterial SSU rRNA
Rfam family: Bacterial small subunit ribosomal RNA
Source: RNAcentral